GCUUAUUGCUUUUUGUUUGUUGCUUUUACAAUGUAUCUAGUUAUCUUUUACUGUGCGCUGUCCAUUGUUUCUGGUGAUGAUCUGUAAGACUCAGAUAAUGGCCAAAUUGAAGUUACUUCCCCGGACAAGGCCUUGGAAGCCCGCCUCAGGCUAAGACCCGUCUUUAGAGCUUGAGCCGUCUUCACAGACUCAGAUACUUAAAGUGAGACCAUCUUCAUUUUGGUGCCCAGAGUGCAAAGUGAAACUCCGACUCUCUAGCACAAGCCCAGGUCCUGUUUUCCGUCCUGGCUGGGAGAUGGACACAGGAGCAGACUCAGCCUCAUUUUCUCCCUAGGGAAAGCCACAAGAAUCAAUAGGUUCUUGGCACCAGGAGGCCCAGCAAGCUAAGGAGUGUGUGCCACCAUGAGGAGCUUCUCGGUGAUCAGUGGAAAUAGGAAUGGAGCUCUCCUUUCUGGAUGUGCAGGGUAAAUUUGAGAUAAAGAGUCACAGUAAAUGGUAUGAUACUGCAUGUGAG
This 514-nucleotide long non-coding RNA is filed under the name Cavia porcellus (domestic guinea pig). RNAcentral describes it as "lncRNA (ENSCPOG00000039736.1)". The record is from RNAcentral. Lineage: Eukaryota; Metazoa; Chordata; Mammalia; Rodentia; Caviidae.